Molecule: ribosomal RNA, 516 nt
Filed under: uncultured bacterium
Lineage: Bacteria
Description: bacterial SSU rRNA
Rfam family: Bacterial small subunit ribosomal RNA
Source: RNAcentral
CGAAAGUCUGACGGAGCAACGCCGCGUGAGCGAAGAAGGCCUUCGGGUCGUAAAGCUCUGUUGUUAGGGAAGAACAAGUACCAGAGUAACUGCUGGUACCUUGACGGUACCUAACCAGAAAGCCACGGCUAACUACGUGCCAGCAGCCGCGGUAAUACGUAGGUGGCAAGCGUUGUCCGGAAUUAUUGGGCGUAAAGCGCGCGCAGGUGGCUCUUUAAGUCUGAUGUGAAAGCCCACGGCUCAACCGUGGAGGGUCAUUGGAAACUGGGGGACUUGAGUGCAGAAGAGGAAAGUGGAAUUCCACGUGUAGCGGUGAAAUGCGUAGAGAUGUGGAGGAACACCAGUGGCGAAGGCGACUUUCUGGUCUGUAACUGACACUGAGGCGCGAAAGCGUGGGGAGCGAACAGGAUUAGAUACCCUGGUAGUCCACGCCGUAAACGAUGAGUGCUAAGUGUUAGGGGGUUUCCGCCCCUUAGUGCUGCAGCUAACGCAUUAAGCACUCCGCCUGGGGAGUAC